GAGCAGGCCCCGUUCAGCCCUUUGUGUGAGGACAGGCUCCCUGGGGAUGAGGAAGCACAAAGUGACUGGCUGCUUCAGCUGAGCUGAAGACCCUGUGGAGACCCCAGCCCGGAUGCCACCUCCCAGAGGGCCAGAGUCCUCCUUCCCCAGAGUGGUCAUGCUCUGGCCAAAUUAAAUCAAAUAUCAUCAUCGAAGCAAACACGCACUUGAAGCCUCUGUGCCUGCGCUUCCCUGCCUGAGAGAAAGCUCCGCCAGGCCUGGAGGAUGCAGCUGGAUGGCCCACAGGCCCAGCUCAAGUCUCCCAACACCACUGGCAGGGAUGGUGGCUGUGCCAGCAUGUUCUCCGCUGAUGGGACUGCUCUGGCGAGAAGGAAAAGAGAAGCUGCGUGCCGGAGGGGAAGGAACUGCUGCAGUGAUGGCCUUGGGAGGGUGAGGGGCAAGAGAGGCAGCCGGUCAGCAUCCAGGCGAUGCAGAGCUGCCACAAGGCUGCACUUCUCUUGGUGGAGGAGGAGGCAUGGUACGGCUGUCCACUGAGGGAGGACAGGUGGUGAUGCUGCGGGCAGGCCCACAGCAGAGGAAGCACUGGAUUUAGUUAGAUGGGAGAGUCCAGGUGAGUAGGAGGGAGAGGGAGUGGGUCAGGGUUCGAGGGGAGAGAUUACAAGGACAGAACCUGACUCUGAGUUGGGUGAAGAGGGAGGUGAGGGUUGGGGAGGGUCCACAGAGGGUGUGCUCUGUGGGGUCCAGGAAGUGAGGCACAAGAGCAGGAAGUGGGAGUCAAAGAAGCAACUCCCAGAGGGUGGGAGGCUCAAACAGGAAUUACAGAGGGGCCUGGGUGGUGGCAUGCUGACCCAGGGAGGGCAAGGGCUGUGAGACAGGUAGAGAGUGAAGUCACCUGGGGAGACUCACAGGAGUCAGUGGUGGGCCCUGACAAGACUGUCCAUGUGGACUCUGAGUCCCCAGGAGGUAGGACAGGGCAGCGCUGGAGUGGCCUCAGGCUGGGCACGGUGGUGCCUGUGAUGAACCACAUCACUGGGGAGUUCUCUGCAGCAUUAUCAAUCAUGAUAAAAGGUUAGAAACAAGCUGGUGUCUGUCAACAGGGAGGUGGUUAAAUAAAAGCAUGGCAUUCUCUGGCCGGGCGCGGUGGCUCACGCCUGUAAUCCCAGCACUUUGGGAGGCCAAGGUGGGCAGAUCACGAGGUCAGGAGAUCAAGACCAUCCUGACUAACGUGGUGAAACCCCGUCUCUACUAAAAAUACUA
RNAcentral lists this long non-coding RNA (1257 nucleotides) under Homo sapiens (human). RNAcentral's name for it is "HSALNT0275659". The record is from RNAcentral. Lineage: Eukaryota; Metazoa; Chordata; Mammalia; Primates; Hominidae.